UUUAACAUGAGAGUUUGAUCCUGGCUCAGGAUGAACGCUGGCGGCGUGCUUAACACAUGCAAGUCGAACGAAGCACUUUAUUUGAUUUCUUCGGAAUGAAGAUUUUGUGACUGAGUGGCGGACGGGUGAGUAACGCGUGGGUAACCUGCCUCAUACAGGGGGAUAACAGUUGGAAACGACUGCUAAUACCGCAUAAGCGCACAGGGUCGCAUGACCUGGUGUGAAAAACUCCGGUGGUAUGAGAUGGACCCGCGUCUGAUUAGCCAGUUGGUGGGGUAACGGCCU
RNAcentral lists this ribosomal RNA (285 nucleotides) under Roseburia intestinalis. RNAcentral describes it as "partial 16S ribosomal RNA". It matches the Rfam family "Bacterial small subunit ribosomal RNA", at positions 1 to 266 of the family's 1533-position model. The record is from RNAcentral. Lineage: Bacteria; Bacillati; Bacillota; Clostridia; Lachnospirales; Lachnospiraceae.